This 81-nucleotide transfer RNA is filed under the name Canis lupus dingo (dingo). It matches the Rfam family "tRNA". Rfam says of the family: Transfer RNA (tRNA) molecules are approximately 80 nucleotides in length. Their secondary structure includes four short double-helical elements and three loops (D, anti-codon, and T loops). Further hydrogen bonds mediate the characteristic L-shaped molecular structure. tRNAs have two regions of fundamental functional importance: the anti-codon, which is responsible for specific mRNA codon recognition, and the 3' end, to which the tRNAs corresponding amino acid is attached (by aminoacyl-tRNA synthetases). tRNAs cope with the degeneracy of the genetic code in two manners: having more than one tRNA (with a specific anti-codon) for a particular amino acid; and 'wobble' base-pairing, i.e. permitting non-standard base-pairing at the 3rd anti-codon position. The record is from Rfam by way of RNAcentral. Lineage: Eukaryota; Metazoa; Chordata; Mammalia; Carnivora; Canidae.
GCCCAGCUAGCUUAGUUGGUAAAGUGUGCGACUCCUGAUCUCAGGAAUUCAGAGUCAUGAGUUCAAGCCCCAUGUUGGGCA